GAUGAACGCUGGCGGCGUGCCUAAUACAUGCAAGUCGAGCGAACGGACGAGAAGCUUGCUUCUCUGAUGUUAGCGGCGGACGGGUGAGUAACACGUGGAUAACCUACCUAUAAGACUGGGAUAACUUCGGGAAACCGGAGCUAAUACCGGAUAAUAUUUUGAACCGCAUGGUUCAAAAGUGAAAGACGGUCUUGCUGUCACUUAUAGAUGGAUCCGCGCUGCAUUAGCUAGUUGGUAAGGUAACGGCUUACCAAGGCAACGAUGCAUAGCCUACCUGAGAGGGUGAUCGGCCACACUGGAACUGAGACACGGUCCAGACUCCUACGGGAGGCAGCAGUAGGGAAUCUUCCGCAAUGGGCGAAAGCCUGACGGAGCAACGCCGCGUGAGUGAUGAAGGUCUUCGGAUCGUAAAACUCUGUUAUUAGGGAAGAACAUAUGUGUAAGUAACUGUGCAUAUCUUGACGGUACCUAAUCAGAAAGCCACGGCUAACUACGUG
RNAcentral lists this ribosomal RNA (497 nucleotides) under uncultured bacterium. Its description in RNAcentral is "partial 16S ribosomal RNA". It matches the Rfam family "Bacterial small subunit ribosomal RNA", at positions 28 to 507 of the family's 1533-position model. The record is from RNAcentral.